AACGCUAGCUACAGGCUUAACACAUGCAAGUCGAGGGGCAGCAUAAAAGUAGCAAUACUUUGGUGGCGACCGGCGCACGGGUGAGUAACGCGUAUGCAAUCUACCUAUCAGAGGGGGAUAACCCGGCGAAAGUCGGACUAAUACCGCAUAAAACAGGGGCACCGCAUGGUGAUAUUUGUUAAAGAUUAAUUGCUGAUAGAUGGGCAUGCGUUCCAUUAGGUAGUUGGUGAGGUAACGGCUCACCAAGCCGACGAUGGAUAGGGGAACUGAGAGGUUGGUCCCCCACACUGGUACUGAGACACGGACCAGACUCCUACGGGAGGCAGCAGUGAGGAAUAUUGGUCAAUGGGCGAGAGCCUGAACCAGCCAAGUCGCGUGAAGGAAGAAGGAUCUAUGGUUCGUAAACUUCUUUUGCAGGGGAAUAAAGUGGAGGACGUGUCCUCUUUUGUAUGUACCCUGAGAAUAAGGAUCGGCUAACUCCGUGCCAGCAGCCGCGGUAAUACGGAGGAUCCGAGCGUUAUCCGGAUUUAUUGGGCUUAAAGGGUGCGUAGGUGGUUUAAUAAGUCAGCGGUGAAAGUUUGCAGCUUAACUGCAAAAAUGCCGUUGAAACUGUUAGACUUGAGUGUAAAUGAGGUAGGCGGAAUGCGUGGUGUAGCGGUGAAAUGCUUAGAUAUCACGAAGAACUCCGAUUG
This 692-nucleotide ribosomal RNA is filed under the name uncultured bacterium. RNAcentral's name for it is "bacterial SSU rRNA". It matches the Rfam family "Bacterial small subunit ribosomal RNA", at positions 32 to 715 of the family's 1533-position model. The record is from RNAcentral.